AUUGAACGCUGGCGGCAGGCCUAACACAUGCAAGUCGAGCGGAUGAGGGGAGCUUGCUCCUGGAUUCAGCGGCGGACGGGUGAGUAAUGCCUAGGAAUCUGCCUGGUAGUGGGGGAUAACGUCCGGAAACGGGCGCUAAUACCGCAUACGUCCUGAGGGAGAAAGUGGGGGAUCUUCGGACCUCACGCUAUCAGAUGAGCCUAGGUCGGAUUAGCUAGUUGGUGGGGUAAAGGCCUACCAAGGCGACGAUCCGUAACUGGUCUGAGAGGAUGAUCAGUCACACUGGAACUGAGACACGGUCCAGACUCCUACGGGAGGCAGCAGUGGGGAAUGUUGGACAAUGGGCGGAAGCCUGAUCCAGCCGUGCCGCGUGUGUGAAGAAGGUCUUCGGAUUGUAAAGCACUUUAAGUUGGGGGGAAGGGCAGUAAGUUGAUACCUUGCUGUUUUGACGUUACCAGCAGAAUAAGCACCGGCUAACUUCGUG
RNAcentral lists this ribosomal RNA (484 nucleotides) under uncultured bacterium. RNAcentral's name for it is "partial 16S ribosomal RNA". It matches the Rfam family "Bacterial small subunit ribosomal RNA", at positions 30 to 507 of the family's 1533-position model. The record is from RNAcentral.